RNAcentral lists this ribosomal RNA (1288 nucleotides) under Salmonella enterica subsp. enterica serovar Typhimurium. RNAcentral describes it as "partial 23S ribosomal RNA". It matches the Rfam family "Bacterial large subunit ribosomal RNA", at positions 711 to 1895 of the family's 2925-position model. RNAcentral also lists the same sequence under 2 other names. Lineage: Bacteria; Pseudomonadati; Pseudomonadota; Gammaproteobacteria; Enterobacterales; Enterobacteriaceae. The record is from RNAcentral.
AGACCCGAAACCCGGUGAUCUAGCCAUGGGCAGGUUGAAGGUUGGGUAACACUAACUGGAGGACCGAACCGACUAAUGUUGAAAAAUUAGCGGAUGACCUGUGGCUGGGGGUGAAAGGCCAAUCAAACCGGGAGAUAGCUGGUUCUCCCCGAAAGCUAUUUAGGUAGCGCCUCGUGAAUUCAUCUCCGGGGGUAGAGCACUGUUUCGGCUAGGGGGCCAUCCCGGCUUACCAACCCGAUGCAAACUGCGAAUACCGGAGAAUGUUAUCACGGGAGACACACGGCGGGUGCUAACGUCCGUCGUGAAGAGGGAAACAACCCAGACCGCCAGCUAAGGUCCCAAAGUCAUGGUUAAGUGGGAAACGAUGUGGGAAGGCCCAGACAGCCAGGAUGUUGGCUUAGAAGCAGCCAUCAUUUAAAGAAAGCGUAAUAGCUCACUGGUCGAGUCGGCCUGCGCGGAAGAUGUAACGGGGCUAAACCAUGCACCGAAGCUGCGGCAGCGAACGUAUCACCCAAGACAACUUUACGGAGUUGACGAUUGACGGAGCGAAGCGACGUCAAAGCGUUCAUUAAAGUCGAGUUGGCUUAGGGAUACGUUCGUUGGGUAGGGGAGCGUUCUGUAAGCCUGUGAAGGUGUGUCGUGAGGCAUGCUGGAGGUAUCAGAAGUGCGAAUGCUGACAUAAGUAACGAUAAAGCGGGUGAAAAGCCCGCUCGCCGGAAGACCAAGGGUUCCUGUCCAACGUUAAUCGGGGCAGGGUGAGUCGACCCCUAAGGCGAGGCCGAAAGGCGUAGUCGAUGGGAAACGGGUUAAUAUUCCCGUACUUGGUGUUACUGCGAAGGGGGGACGGAGAAGGCUAUGUUGGCCGGGCGACGGUUGUCCCGGUUUAAGGGUGUAGGUGUGUGUUCCAGGUAAAUCCGGUUCACUUUAACACUGAGGCGUGACGACGAGGCACUACGGUGCUGAAGCAACAAAUGCCCUGCUUCCAGGAAAAGCCUCUAAGCAUCAGGUAACACGAAAUCGUACCCCAAACCGACACAGGUGGUCAGGUAGAGAAUACCAAGGCGCUUGAGAGAACUCGGGUGAAGGAACUAGGCAAAAUGGUGCCGUAACUUCGGGAGAAGGCACGCUGACACGUAGGUGAAGUGAUUUACUCAUGGAGCUGAAGUCAGUCGAAGAUACCAGCUGGCUGCAACUGUUUAUUAAAAACACAGCACUGUGCAAACACGAGAGUGGACGUAUACGGUGUGACGCCUGCCCGGUGCCGGAAGGUUAAUUGAUGGGGUCAGCG